This 3616-nucleotide long non-coding RNA is filed under the name Mus musculus (house mouse). RNAcentral describes it as "long non-coding RNA chr15:55255552-55259168". The record is from RNAcentral. Lineage: Eukaryota; Metazoa; Chordata; Mammalia; Rodentia; Muridae.
GGUCAUAGUGCACACCUUUAACCCUAGCCCUCUGGAGGCAGAGACAGGUAGAGGCAGAUCUCUGUGAGUUAGAGGCCAGCCUGGUCUACAGAGCUUGUUCUAGGACACCCAGGGCUACACAGAGAAAUCUUAUCUCAAAAAACCAAAAAAUAAAAAAAAAAAAAUUAAAAAGCUAUUGCUGUGUAGCAUAGGCUGUCCUCAAACUCAUACUAAUCUUCCUACCUCGGGGAAUUAAUCUUUCUUUCUCUCUCUGUCUGUCUGUCUGUCUCUCUCUCUCUCUCUGUCUCUCUCUCUCUCUUUCUCUCCCUCGCUCCUUCCUCCACAUGCAAACACACACAGCCUCAUAAAAUAAUUAAUAAAUACUCGUGGUCCCCUAGAGCCCUGUUGGACUCAUUCAGUAUUUGCAUAUGUGCUAUCUUAUUUUUAGAAUGUUACUUCUCCCUCUUUGUGCCCACCCCCUCCCCCCGAUUAUUUUUAUUAGCUCCUUUGGGUGUGUGUGUGUGUCAUCUUAGAGAAAUCUUUGCCACAUCCCCAAAGAUGUUCCUAUUUUAAAUUCUCCAAAUUCCUACAGACCAAUAAAUCCCAUCCAAACCUCUAUUAGAGCACAGUCACUUUUAGAAUGUCCUUGCUUGGUCACAUGCCUGUCUCCCUCAGUAGACGCUCAGCAUCUGCAGAUCGAGGACUGUUUGGUACCCAAAGUCUAGCCUUCACCUGUUCCUUGCCCAAAAUAGUACAUUAGCUACUUACUGUUGUCUGAUGGGCAACCCCCAAACUAUAUCACACAAUAGCUCCUUUUAUUUGCUCACGACUCUGAGGGUUGUCAGCAUUUGGCUGAUGUGACCAACCACUGCUCCAAAGGUGCCAGGAGGUCUACACACACGUUUGUAUUCGGUGAGCUAGUUGUCGGAGGCCUUUUGUUCUUGGAAGCUGCUGUCAUUUGAUUCUUGAAUGUCUGUCUCCCAAAGUCCCAUGUGUUAAUAAGUUCUUUUCACUAGGGUGGCAACACUGGGACAAGGUAGAACCAGCCACACAUUUCAGCACUCGGUGGGUGGAGGAGGCAGGAGGAUCAGGAAUUCACUGACAUCCUUGGUAACAAAGCAAGUCUGAGACCACAUAAAAUAUUGCCUCAAAGAUGCAAACGAAGAAGUGGUAGGACCUGAUGAGAGAACUGCAGGGACCUGGGGAGUUUGCCCCUGGUGGGACUGUGGGACCCCAGCUUUUUUUCAUCAUUUAUUUCUUGGCCCUGAGACAAGUCAUUUGGUUUGACCAUUUGCUCCUACACAGUGUCCUGACUUAUCACAUGCCUCACUGGUGAGUUAGUACCGAAUGGGGCCAAUCAGUUAUGGACUAAAAUCUCAAAAACUGUGAGCCAAAAAUAACCCUUUUCUCUUUAUCAGGUAAUUACCACAGGUAUCUUGUUAUAGUGAGAGAAAUCCGUCUAACACAGAUGGCCUCAUGCAAACCACUCCAAGCCACAGUUCCAGGUCGUGUAGUUCCAGACAAUCUAGAGACAACCUGCAACCUUCUCUUCUGUAGCUCAGAAACGAAACACUUUGACUUUCUUCAAUUCAAACAGCUAGCUGGAGAGAGAGCACAGUGGCAAAGAGCCUAGAUUGCUCUUCCAGAGGACUUGAGUUUGCUUCCUAAAAUUACAUAAUGGCUCACAACAGUCCAUUGCUCUAGUGGCACAAGAUCUGACACCCUCUUCUGAUCUUCUUGGGUACCAGGGGCGCACAUGGUACACAAAUAUAGAUAUAAUGCAAAACAUCCAUAUACAUAUAAUUAAAGUGAAUAAAUACUUGAAAAUGGGUUAAUAAAUAAAACCAGCCCAGAGUCCAGGAACAGAGAAAUAAGCAGUACCUUUUAUGAGAAGACCUGCAUAGAAUCUGUGGCCAAUUUUAAUUCUCUAAAAAUAAAUACAGAGGAGCCAUUAUUAGUUUAAUGCAGUUAUUGAACGCUUUAGACUCUCGAAUCAAAUUCUUACCCAGCCAUUGGAUGGGAGUGAGAUGUACCUGAAGGCUGGUUUAUAACAAAACCUUCCAAGUCCAUGGGUCCUAAAAUGUCAGUGCUGCUUGGGCUGGGUAGAACACAGUUUAAUCAUCUCAUUGAUUAGUGAAUGAGGCAUAAAACAAUCUUGGACUAUACCCAGACUUGUGCAGCUUGGCCGAAUUCCUUGAGUCUCUUGCCUUCCAUCCCUGUCACAGUAGAUUCUUCUGUGGGAUAAAGUCAUUCAGCUGAAACAGGUUUAUGGCACUGUGGACUCAAAAGUGGCAUCAGGGAUCUUUGAAGAGAAGGGGGAGGAUCAUCUGCUAUUGUUAUUUGUUUCAAAUACCAAGGUCUUAUUCUGUAUGUAUUCCAAGUUGGCCAGGAACUUCUAGUAUAGCACAGGCUAGUCUUAAAUUCAUAGCCAUCCUCCUGCUUCAGCCUCCUGAGGACUUGAAUUAUAGGCCCGAGCUACCAUGCCUGUUUAAAUGAGUUUGGUCUUCAUGUGGAUUUGUGUCUGUGAUCUUCAAAGAGGAAACGGUAUUUACUUAUUCACUGCCUGAGAUAACAUUUAACUGCGCAUCUUGGACAUAUUCUUCCUUGUUCCCUUAUAAAAUGUAUUUUCAAAGCCAGGCAAGAAGGCUCACACCUAUAAUCCCAGUAUUCAGGAAGUGGAGACAGGAGAGUUGUGGUGAGAGGCCAGCCUGGACUACAGAGACUUUGUCUCAAAAACAAAACUAGAUAAGAAAUUCUAGACUCUUUUUUUUGUUUGUGUGUGGUGUUUAUGUUUUGAUGAUAGAAAGACAGAUUUUGUUUUUUGUUUCUUCAUUAACACAGUAUAUGAAUUAGAAGGGCUUUUUUUUUAUUAAAAUGAAAACUGCAUUAUCUUUUUUACUGUUUCUGCCUUCUGAAGUUUAAUUACAACUGGGCAGGGUGGCUCACAGCACAAAGAUUCGUGCUGGAGAAUGGAAUUUGAGGCUAUCCUGGCUAUACACAGAGACCCUAUCUAAAAACUAAUUUAUUAGGUCUAGUAUCUCACACCUCUAAUCGAAGCACUGCAGAGACAGAAGGAUCACCACAUCUAAGGCUAGCCUGGGCUACAUGUGAUACCCAAAAGACAUAAUAAGGAAAUUCAUUGAGAAAUGGAAGGGAAUGUGAGGAAGAUCAGCCAUCUUUGCCUAGAUGAGGUGUGGCUGACUUUAUAGAUCACGUGACAGGUGCCUCUGCUUUGGAAGGACAGACACCAGGUUAAGAAUAUCACUGCUUUCUAUUCAAAUGGAUUUCCUGAGUUUCCAAAUCUUUCCUUUCAAAUGUAUUGUGGAGAUAGUCAACUUCAAGGCCAAUUUUGAACCCUUGGUACUGACUCUGGCUGCUAUGAAUUCUGUUUUACUUUGACUAUAAAUGAUCAGAAUAACUCCAGAGCACUGUGGUGUUUCUGACUGGUUGAAAUUGAUGAUUGACAUUAAUAAUGAUUUCCUGCCACCUGAACUUCAGGUAUGAUGCAUAUUUCUUCACUGCAGAACCAAAAGGACAAAUGAGCUGUAUGCCAAAAUGAAGUUUGCCGUCAAAGAUCGCAUAUAGUAUUGUUAAAUAAGUUUAAAAGUACUUAAUAUAUGGCUUUAUUUUAAAAUUU